RNAcentral lists this ribosomal RNA (752 nucleotides) under uncultured bacterium. RNAcentral describes it as "bacterial SSU rRNA". It matches the Rfam family "Bacterial small subunit ribosomal RNA", at positions 22 to 754 of the family's 1533-position model. The record is from RNAcentral.
GCUCAGAACGAACGCUGGCGGCGUGCUUAACACAUGCAAGUCGAACGCGAAAGGGACUUCGGUCCUGAGUAAAGUGGCGCACGGGUGAGUAACGCGUGGAUAAUCUACCCGAUGGACCGGGAUAACAUUUCGAAAGGGGUGCUAAUACCGGAUAAGACCACGGCUUCUUAGGGGGCUGCGGUAAAAGGUGGGGACCUUCGGGCCUACCGUCAUCGGAUGAGUCCGCGUACCAUUAGCUAGUUGGUAGGGUAAGAGCCUACCAAGGCGACGAUGGUUAGCUGGUCUGAGAGGAUGAUCAGCCACACUGGAACUGAGACACGGUCCAGACUCCUACGGGAGGCAGCAGUGGGGAAUUUUGCGCAAUGGGGGAAACCCUGACGCAGCAACGCCGCGUGAGUGAUGAAGGCCUUCGGGUCGUAAAGCUCUGUCAGAGGGGAAGAAAUGCAGGGGUGCUAAUAUCAUCUUUGCUUGACGGUACCCUCAAAGGAAGCACCGGCUAACUCCGUGCCAGCAGCCGCGGUAAUACGGAGGGUGCGAGCGUUGUUCGGAAUUAUUGGGCGUAAAGCGCGUGUAGGCGGUUUGGUAAGUCUGAUGUGAAAGCCCCGGGCUCAACCUGGGAAGUGCAUUGGAAACUGUCAGACUUGAAUACGGGAGAGGGUAGUGGAAUUCCUAGUGUAGGAGUGAAAUCCGUAGAUAUUAGGAGGAACACCGGUGGCGAAGGCGGCUACCUGGACCGAUAUGACGCUAGACGC